AACGAACGCUGGCGGCAGGCCUAACACAUGCAAGUCGAGCGCUCUCUUCGGAGGGAGCGGCGGACGGGUGAGUAACGCGUGGGAAUAUGCCCUUUGGUACGGAACAACAGCUGGAAACGGCUGCUAAUACCGUAUGCUCCCUACGGGGGAAAGAUUUAUCGCCAAAGGAUUAGCCCGCGUUGGAUUAGGUAGUUGGUGUGGUAAUGGCGCACCAAGCCUACGAUCCAUAGCUGGUUUGAGAGGAUGAUCAGCCACACUGGGACUGAGACACGGCCCAGACUCCUACGGGAGGCAGCAGUGGGGAAUCUUGGACAAUGGGGGCAACCCUGAUCCAGCCAUGCCGCGUGAGCGAUGAAGGCCUUAGGGUUGUAAAGCUCUUUCACCGGUGAAGAUAAUGACGGUAGCCGGAGAAGAAGCCCCGGCUAAACUCCGUGCCAG
Molecule: ribosomal RNA, 438 nt
Filed under: uncultured bacterium
Lineage: Bacteria
Description: bacterial SSU rRNA
Rfam family: Bacterial small subunit ribosomal RNA
Source: RNAcentral